GGGUUGUGAGGUUAAGCGACUAAGCGUACACGGUGGAUGCCCUGGCAGUCAGAGGCGAUGAAGGGCGUGCUAAUCUGCGAUAAGCGCCGGUAAGGUGAUAUGAACCGUUAUAACCGGCGAUACCCGAAUGGGGAAACCCAGUGUGAUUCGUCACACUAUCAUUAACUGAAUCCAUAGGUUAAUGAGGCGAACCGGGGGAACUGAAACAUCUAAGUACCCCGAGGAAAAGAAAUCAACCGAGAUUCCCCCAGUAGCGGCGAGCGAACGGGGAGGAGCCCAGAGCCUGAAUCAGCAUGUGUGUUAGUGGAAGCGUCUGGAAAGGCGCGCGAUACAGGGUGACAGCCCCGUACACAAAAGCGCAUGUGCUGUGAGCUCGAUGAGUAGGGCGGGACACGUGGUAUCCUGUCUGAAUAUGGGGGGACCAUCCUCCAAGGCUAAAUACUCCUGACUGACCGAUAGUGAACCAGUACCGUGAGGGAAAGGCGAAAAGAACCCCGGCGAGGGGAGUGAAAAAGAACCUGAAACCGUGUACGUACAAGCAGUGGGAGCCCCACCACUAAGCCAGUGGUGAACUCCACAUACGCAUCCUUUGCUGAAGGCAAUGGUUAACGGAGCGAAAGCGACGUUCAACCGCAAAAGAAGCAGAGGGGGCUUAGUGGUGGGGUGACUGCGUACCUUUUGUAUAAUGGGUCAGCGACUUAUAUUCUGUAGCAAGGUUAACCGAAUAGGGGAGCCGUAGGGAAACCGAGUCUUAACCGGGCGUUAAGUUGCAGGGUAUAGACCCGAAACCCGGUGAUCUAGCCAUGGGCAGGUUGAAGGUUGGGUAACACUAACUGGAGGACCGAACCGACUAAUGUUGAAAAAUUAGCGGAUGACCUGUGGCUGGGGGUGAAAGGCCAAUCAAACCGGGAGAUAGCUGGUUCUCCCCGAAAGCUAUUUAGGUAGCGCCUCGUGAAUUCAUCUCCGGGGGUAGAGCACUGUUUCGGCUAGGGGGCCAUCCCGGCUUACCAACCCGAUGCAAACUGCGAAUACCGGAGAAUGUUAUCACGGGAGACACACGGCGGGUGCUAACGUCCGUCGUGAAGAGGGAAACAACCCAGACCGCCAGCUAAGGUCCCAAAGUCAUGGUUAAGUGGGAAACGAUGUGGGAAGGCCCAGACAGCCAGGAUGUUGGCUUAGAAGCAGCCAUCAUUUAAAGAAAGCGUAAUAGCUCACUGGUCGAGUCGGCCUGCGCGGAAGAUGUAACGGGGCUAAACCAUGCACCGAAGCUGCGGCAGCGACACUCAGGUGUUGUUGGGUAGGGGAGCGUUCUGUAAGCCUGUGAAGGUGGCCUGUGAGGGUUGCUGGAGGUAUCAGAAGUGCGAAUGCUGACAUAAGUAACGAUAAAGCGGGUGAAAAGCCCGCUCGCCGGAAGACCAAGGGUUCCUGUCCAACGUUAAUCGGGGCAGGGUGAGUCGACCCCUAAGGCGAGGCCGAAAGGCGUAGUCGAUGGGAAACAGGUUAAUAUUCCUGUACUUGGUGUUACUGCGAAGGGGGGACGGAGAAGGCUAUGUUGGCCGGGCGACGGUUGUCCCGGUUUAAGCGUGUAGGUGUGUGUUCCAGGUAAAUCCGGUUCACUUUAACACUGAGGCGUGACGACGAGGCACUACGGUGCUGAAGCAACAAAUGCCCUGCUUCCAGGAAAAGCCUCUAAGCAUCAGGUAACAUCAAAUCGUACCCCAAACCGACACAGGUGGUCAGGUAGAGAAUACCAAGGCGCUUGAGAGAACUCGGGUGAAGGAACUAGGCAAAAUGGUGCCGUAACUUCGGGAGAAGGCACGCUGACACGUAGGUGAAGUGAUUUACUCAUGGAGCUGAAGUCAGUCGAAGAUACCAGCUGGCUGCAACUGUUUAUUAAAAACACAGCACUGUGCAAACACGAAAGUGGACGUAUACGGUGUGACGCCUGCCCGGUGCCGGAAGGUUAAUUGAUGGGGUCAGCGCAAGCGAAGCUCCUGAUCGAAGCCCCGGUAAACGGCGGCCGUAACUAUAACGGUCCUAAGGUAGCGAAAUUCCUUGUCGGGUAAGUUCCGACCUGCACGAAUGGCGUAAUGAUGGCCAGGCUGUCUCCACCCGAGACUCAGUGAAAUUGAACUCGCUGUGAAGAUGCAGUGUACCCGCGGCAAGACGGAAAGACCCCGUGAACCUUUACUAUAGCUUGACACUGAACAUUGAGCCUUGAUGUGUAGGAUAGGUGGGAGGCUUUGAAGCGUGGACGCCAGUCUGCGUGGAGCCGACCUUGAAAUACCACCCUUUAAUGUUUGAUGUUCUAACGUGGACCCGUAAUCCGGGUUGCGGACAGUGUCUGGUGGGUAGUUUGACUGGGGCGGUCUCCUCCUAAAGAGUAACGGAGGAGCACGAAGGUUGGCUAAUCCUGGUCGGACAUCAGGAGGUUAGUGCAAUGGCAUAAGCCAGCUUGACUGCGAGCGUGACGGCGCGAGCAGGUGCGAAAGCAGGUCAUAGUGAUCCGGUGGUUCUGAAUGGAAGGGCCAUCGCUCAACGGAUAAAAGGUACUCCGGGGAUAACAGGCUGAUACCGCCCAAGAGUUCAUAUCGACGGCGGUGUUUGGCACCUCGAUGUCGGCUCAUCACAUCCUGGGGCUGAAGUAGGUCCCAAGGGUAUGGCUGUUCGCCAUUUAAAGUGGUACGCGAGCUGGGUUUAGAACGUCGUGAGACAGUUCGGUCCCUAUCUGCCGUGGGCGCUGGAGAACUGAGGGGGGCUGCUCCUAGUACGAGAGGACCGGAGUGGACGCAUCACUGGUGUUCGGGUUGUCAUGCCAAUGGCACUGCCCGGUAGCUAAAUGCGGAAGAGAUAAGUGCUGAAAGCAUCUAAGCACGAAACUUGCCCCGAGAUGAGUUCUCCCUGAGACUUAGAGUCUCCUGAAGGAACGUUGAAGACGACGACGUUGAUAGGCCGGGUGUGUAAGCGCAGCGAUGCGUUGAGCUAACCGGUACUAAUGAACCGUGAGGCUUAACCUUACAACGCCGAAG
Molecule: ribosomal RNA, 3029 nt
Filed under: Salmonella enterica subsp. enterica serovar Thompson
Lineage: Bacteria; Pseudomonadati; Pseudomonadota; Gammaproteobacteria; Enterobacterales; Enterobacteriaceae
Also listed under: 2 other names
Description: bacterial LSU rRNA
Rfam family: Bacterial large subunit ribosomal RNA
Source: RNAcentral